UACGUAGGGUGCGAGCGUUAAGCGGAAUUACUGGGCGUAAAGCGUGCGCAGGCGGUUUUGUAAGCCAGGUGUGAAAUCCCCGGGCUUAACCUGGGAAUGGCAUUUGGGACUGCAAGGCUGGAGUGUGGCAGAGGAGACUGGAAUUCCUGGUGUAGCAGUGAAAUGCGUAGAUAUCAGGAGGAAUACCGAUGGCGAAGGCAGGUCUCUGGGCUGACACUGACGCUCAUGCACGAAAGCGUGGGGAGCAAACAGG
RNAcentral lists this ribosomal RNA (253 nucleotides) under uncultured bacterium. RNAcentral's name for it is "partial 16S ribosomal RNA". It matches the Rfam family "Bacterial small subunit ribosomal RNA", at positions 524 to 776 of the family's 1533-position model. The record is from RNAcentral.